UUUAAAUGGCCCCAGUAUACUAACUGUGCAAAGGUAGCAUAAUCAUUAGUCUUUUAAUUGAAGGCUGGUAUGAAUGGUUGGACGAGAUAUUAACUGUUUCAUAAAAAUUUAUAAUAGAAUUUUAUUUUUUAGUCAAAAAGCUAAAAUAUAUUUAAAAGACGAGAAGACCCUAUAAAUCUUUAUAUUUAAAUUAUUAUAAUUUUAUAGAUUUAUUUUGUUAUAAUAGUUGAUAAUAUUUUAUUGGGGUGAUAUUAAAAUUUAAUAAACUUUUAAUUGUUUAAAUCAUUAAUUUAUGAAUAAUUGAUCCGUUAUUAGCGAUUAAAAAAAUAAGUUACUUUAGGGAUAACAG
Molecule: ribosomal RNA, 349 nt
Filed under: Phormia regina (black blowfly)
Lineage: Eukaryota; Metazoa; Arthropoda; Insecta; Diptera; Calliphoridae
Description: partial 16S ribosomal RNA
Source: RNAcentral